UAUUUCUAGGCUAAAUGCUAAAAACAGCACAUUUUUUAGAUUUUUAUUUGUAAAAAAAGCACAUACAAUCUUUCUUCAUUUAGAGUUCCUAUAAAAUACAAUGACACUUGCGACUGUAAUGUC
This is a long non-coding RNA of Xiphophorus hellerii (green swordtail), 123 nucleotides long. RefSeq lists it as uncharacterized. The record is from RefSeq and is a predicted model, not a curated record. The transcript is spliced from 3 exons. NCBI's taxonomy places the organism in Eukaryota, Metazoa, Chordata, Actinopteri, Cyprinodontiformes, Poeciliidae.